Molecule: long non-coding RNA, 1066 nt
Organism: Physcomitrium patens
Lineage: Eukaryota; Viridiplantae; Streptophyta; Bryopsida; Funariales; Funariaceae
Source: RefSeq, a predicted model, not a curated record
GGGAUUUGAACGUUUUGCACAUCUGCUCUUAGAUCAGAAAACCUAUCUGCACGAUCCGCUUAUAUUACUCGACCGGAACCGUAGAUUCUCAAAGCAAAUGACUAUUGCUGGAUCGCCGCGCUAAUGUCACUGAUUCCACCCCUUGGAUGUCACUGCUUGGCACAAUCCUCUUAUUGUGAAUUUCAUGUCCUCUUUCGUGGUUAGUCGAUAGAGUUGUACUACCUUUAUUCAUCCAGUGUUAUAAAUGUUUGUCCAGUGCUAGCUCUUCACUUGGGGAUUGCACAACAGGGGGUUCGUGCCAAGCUGUGUGCAACCUAAGGGUGGUUUUAAUUCCAGGUUUAUGCAUCAGGAUUCGCAGGCAGAGAGUACAUGGGUGGAAUGCUUGUGUCGUAUUCUUAUUUACAUAUAUUUCUACACACAGUUCUCAGUUACCAACAAUGGAGUGAGAACUAGUGGAGAUCGGAUAGGCGAGAUAGAAUUGGGACACACACCGUUGUCAAACUUCGAAGGCAAAUUAACUUACUGAAUUGCUCACAAAUAUUGUGAUAUUCUUUGACAUGGAUGACGACGACUAGCCGUACUGUCAUUGCAUCUGAGGAAGAAGGUAUGUUUUUCAGAAGGUAUGAUUUUCAGUGGCAGUAGAAAACAACACGAUCUCUUCUUUUCCAUGUCAUUUGGGGUUUGUCAUGAAAUGAAUGUCUCGUUAGUUAUUAUUUAGUCCUAGUCUUCAUGUCAUUCUUCGAAUCAUAAUUUCCAAAUAUAUUUCCUCUAGUGUUUUAGAGAUACUAAUUUGUAUUGCCUCAACUCAGCAAACAGGUCGAGAAGUGAACACCCUGAGUUUAUGAUAGGAAUUCUACCAGCAUGUAUUUAAUCCGUUGCAGUGAAGGUACAAGGAGAGUUAAGACUUUUAUUCUUGCCAAGUAAGUCAUUGUGCAGCGAUGGCAGUGGUCAUUGGAAGUCAAUACACUGUUGUGCUAUAUGUAGAACAGUUAUCUGUUCAACCACAUUACCCUUGUUACAUUACAACAAGUUUCAGUAAACGUAGAGUACUACAUGGUUCAAUCGA